AGCUCAAAUCUCCUUUUAAGGAAGACAGAAGAGCCAAAAGGGCAGGAUAGUGUUUAUGUUUUGGGGCUGAAAAACGGUGCAGGAAAGUUCCCAGAUCCAGAGUCCCUGGAGAGAUGGAUGACCACUGUGUUUUCUCUGAGACAUGGCAUAGAGGACUGAUUGCAUGAAACAGCACUAGACAAUCCUUCAAACACAAACAGGGUCUAUGUGGGUUAGGAAGCAUGCUCACACUGGAGGUGCAGCUAUGAGACAAGCUAUCCAAACUUGCUUGACUGGAAGCCAGAAACGCUGAUGGAGAACAAACUGCAUCUGGCAAAAUGAAUUCUAAAUAAGAAACCAGUAAGCAAUGUUGUUGCUGAUUCUUUUCUCAGGAGACUUUCCAAGAAUGCCAAUUCAUUCUCAUGAGAGAGAAAAAGAACAUCAACAGCAACAGCCAUUUCAGCAUGUAAUUAAGCAACAGAAUAUAGCCAGCCGUUCAUGGACAUUCUCCUGAGAAACUAACAACCACCACGACAUUGUGCCUUUCAAUUGUGGCUGCUCAUGACUUUCAUGAGUGAUAAUCAGCCUACAUUUGUCCUUUCAGAAUGACCCGGUGUAACCUAAUUAGCAGACAAGACUGUGAAGAGACACAACUCCUCAGGGGUUUCAGAUGGUUUAGGUCCUCCAGCAGCAGGCUUCUUCCUAGAGAGGGAGGAAGAGAACCAGUCCUGAUAACAUCAAACCCAGUGGUACUAACCUAUAUAUGCCAGGUGAGGGGGUUGGCCCAUCCAUGCCCCCUCUUCCACAAUAGAAGGAUAAACAGACCCCAUAACAGUGAUGCCACUCCCCCCAGGCAGCUACAUCCCUCUCUCCCCCUCUCUAUUCUCUACUCUCCGCCCAUCUGAUUUUCCUCCCAUAAACUAGAUGACAUAGCUUAGAGAGCUGCCAGAGAACCUUCUCGCCUGUUGGACUCACAGCCUUUCUCCCAGCCUCCUCGCCAGACUAUCAGUGACCUCCAGAGCAGAAUCUACCCAUCCAUCUAUCCAUUAAUCCAUCCACCCCUCUGGAGCAGACCUAUGUAGCUGAACCAACAACCACCACAGCACAGCGAGGGCUAAGCAGGGGGGUGUAACGAUCCAUCAAACCAUCUCCAUCACUGGUCUUCCUGAGGACACCUCCAGAAUUACCCUCUUAACUGAAGAGCUUUGCCCAGAAUUGAUCACUCUGCCUGGGGCAUUUGCAGCUUCAACCCAGCCUCUCCAUGUCGAGUGAAACCAUGGACCUGGUCAACAACCGCGGCCUCAACCUGAUGCUCAACUUCCUCCUCAUCGUCAUCAUGCUGCUCCUCAUGCUUGUCCUGGUCAAACUCAUGUAACCUCUGACAUACAGUAUGACCUCAUGGCAUAGGUUGAGCAAUUCCAGUCCCCAAGGGCCACAGGGUCUGAUGGGAGUCCCUCUACCUCUGAUUUGAUCAUAUAAAUACACAAUGGCUUCAACUAAUUAUUAUUCAACAGUUCACAUCAAAAAUCACUGAAUAAAGGCCAUAGAACCUGUUGGGAGUAGAACUAAACAUUGUGAGCUUUUGGAGAGUAGAAAAGAGUUUGGGAUUCCAUGAGAUCGUUACAUGGGAUGGCAAGAUUCAAAACAUGAAUUAACAGGAGGAUGAAACUCCACCCACCGAUGGUAAAGAAAUGAAAUAACGUUGACAUGGCAUGAUCAAUAGAACGCCCUCCUUUACGUUUAGUUUACCUCCCUCUAGUGGUAGAAUCACCAAACUGCACCACAUCUACUUCUGGCCAGGGCACUGAGCACAGAGAUAAAUCCAUGCUCUCUGAUCCUCAUUCUAGAGUUGUGGUUGAUAUGGGCCAUAGAGAACAAUCAUUUUCAAAGCUUUUAACGCUCACAGUUACCGACUAUUCUAAGCUAUUAGGACCAAAGCACAUGUUACAAAUGACAACUGAAAUGUAACUGAAAACGAUUAAAGCCAGACACCGACCGUC
Molecule: RNA transcript, 1979 nt
Organism: Oncorhynchus tshawytscha (Chinook salmon)
Lineage: Eukaryota; Metazoa; Chordata; Actinopteri; Salmoniformes; Salmonidae
Gene name: cardiac phospholamban
Exons: 2
Source: RefSeq, a predicted model, not a curated record